Gadus macrocephalus (Pacific cod) is the source of this 282-nucleotide long non-coding RNA. RefSeq lists it as uncharacterized. Lineage: Eukaryota; Metazoa; Chordata; Actinopteri; Gadiformes; Gadidae. The record is from RefSeq and is a predicted model, not a curated record. The transcript has 3 exons.
CCUCACCAACCUCCAUGCAAUUGAAGAUGAUGGAGAAACAUUGUCUGCGGCAUUUGAAAGGGAAGAGGAAAGGCCUAUUGAGGAUGAAAUCGAAUUCAAUGAGAGGCCAUCCACUUCUAGCUCUACUUCACAGCUUACCUCUGUAAGAUUCUCCCUGGAAUUAUAAUGAAACGCUGUACUUGGCACUGUGAAAUCCAAUGUCAUCUUUUGCAUUCCUAUAGCUUCCAGUCAAAGAGCUCUAUAAAAUCUAUCUGGGAAAACAAAUAAACAAAGCAGACUUAG